GACGAACGCUGGCGGCGUGCCUAAUACAUGCAAGUAGAACGCUGAAGGAGGAGCUUGCUUCUCCGGAUGAGUUGCGAACGGGUGAGUAACGCGUAGGUAACCUGCCUGGUAGCGGGGGAUAACUAUUGGAAACGAUAGCUAAUACCGCAUAAAAUUGAUUAUUGCAUGAUAGUCAAUUAAAAGGUGCAAAUGCAUCACUACCAGAUGGACCUGCGUUGUAUUAGCUAGUUGGUGAGGUAACGGCUCACCAAGGCAACGAUACAUAGCCGACCUGAGAGGGUGAUCGGCCACACUGGGACUGAGACACGGCCCAGACUCCUACGGGAGGCAGCAGUAGGGAAUCUUCGGCAAUGGACGGAAGUCUGACCGAGCAACGCCGCGUGAGUGAAGAAGGUUUUCGGAUCGUAAAGCUCUGUUGUAAGAGAAGAACGAGUGUGAGAGUGGAAAGUUCACACUGUGACGUAUCUACCAGAAAGGA
This 478-nucleotide ribosomal RNA is filed under the name Streptococcus sp. oral taxon 058. RNAcentral's name for it is "bacterial SSU rRNA". It matches the Rfam family "Bacterial small subunit ribosomal RNA", at positions 28 to 492 of the family's 1533-position model. Lineage: Bacteria; Bacillati; Bacillota; Bacilli; Lactobacillales; Streptococcaceae. The record is from RNAcentral.